GGGGAGGGCUAUAGCUCAGUGGUCCGGCAUUUGCUGUGCCUGCAGAAGGUCCCAGGGUCAAUGCCUGGCUUCUCCA
This is a non-coding RNA of Podarcis lilfordi (Lilford's wall lizard), 76 nucleotides long. NCBI's taxonomy places the organism in Eukaryota, Metazoa, Chordata, Lepidosauria, Squamata, Lacertidae. The record is from the annotation of a GenBank genome assembly.